GAUAGCAAAGCAGUCACAUUUCGCGUAUA
RNAcentral lists this small RNA (29 nucleotides) under Arabidopsis thaliana (thale cress). Its description in RNAcentral is "ATSL061080". The record is from RNAcentral. Lineage: Eukaryota; Viridiplantae; Streptophyta; Magnoliopsida; Brassicales; Brassicaceae.